CAGUCGCCUCGGGAAAACGUAGGGUGCAAGCGUUAAUCGGAAUUACUGGGCGUAAAGCGUGCGCAGGCGGUUGUGUAAGUCUGAUGUGAAAGCCCCGGGCUCAACCUGGGAACUGCAUUGGAGACUGCACGGCUAGAGUGCGUCAGAGGGGGGUAGAAUUCCGCGUGUAGCAGUGAAAUGCGUAGAGAUGCGGAGGAAUACCGAUGGCGAAGGCAACCCCCUGGGAUGACACUGACGCUCAUGCACGAAAGCGUGGGGAGCAAACAGGAUUAGAUACCCCUGUAGUCCCUGUCUCUUAUAC
This 301-nucleotide ribosomal RNA is filed under the name uncultured bacterium. Its description in RNAcentral is "partial 16S ribosomal RNA". It matches the Rfam family "Bacterial small subunit ribosomal RNA", at positions 509 to 807 of the family's 1533-position model. The record is from RNAcentral.